This 465-nucleotide ribosomal RNA is filed under the name Vreelandella stevensii. RNAcentral describes it as "partial 16S ribosomal RNA". It matches the Rfam family "Bacterial small subunit ribosomal RNA", at positions 338 to 795 of the family's 1533-position model. The record is from RNAcentral. Lineage: Bacteria; Pseudomonadati; Pseudomonadota; Gammaproteobacteria; Oceanospirillales; Halomonadaceae.
CCUACGGGUGGCAGCAGUGGGGAAUAUUGGACAAUGGGGGCAACCCUGAUCCAGCCAUGCCGCGUGUGUGAAGAAGGCCCUCGGGUUGUAAAGCACUUUCAGUGAGGAAGAACGCCUGGUGGUUAAUACCCAUCAGGAAAGACAUCACUCACAGAAGAAGCACCGGCUAACUCCGUGCCAGCAGCCGCGGUAAUACGGAGGGUGCGAGCGUUAAUCGGAAUUACUGGGCGUAAAGCGCGCGUAGGUGGCUUGAUAAGCCGGUUGUGAAAGCCCAGGGCUCAACCUGGGAACGGCAUCCGGAACUGUCAAGCUAGAGUGCAGGAGAGGAAGGUAGAAUUCCCGGUGUAGCGGUGAAAUGCGUAGAGAUCGGGAGGAAUACCAGUGGCGGAGGCGGCCUUCUGGACUGACACUGACACUGAGGUGCGAAAGCGUGGGUAGCAAACAGGAUUAGAUACCCGGGUAGUC